This 1336-nucleotide ribosomal RNA is filed under the name metagenome. Its description in RNAcentral is "bacterial LSU rRNA". It matches the Rfam family "Bacterial large subunit ribosomal RNA", at positions 1538 to 2879 of the family's 2925-position model. The record is from RNAcentral.
AAAUCCGGUAACCAUAAGGCUAGAGCGUGAUAGGUAAGCGAAAUCUUAGGAAAGUAGCGAAGCACAUGAUGACGGCUUCCAGGAAAAGCUUCUGGCAAUGCAUAUGCGGCCCGUACCAAAACCGACACAGGUAGGCAGGGAGAGAAUCCCGAGGUGAGCGAGAGAACUGUUGCCAAGGAACUCGGCAAAAUGACUCCGUAAGUUAGCGAGAAGGAGUGCUUAAGCAAUUAAGCCGCAGUGAAGAGGCCCAAGCGACUGUUUAACUAAAACACAGCUCUCUGCGAAGUCGCAAGACGAAGUAUAGGGGGUGACACCUGCCCGGUGCUGGAAGGUUAAGAGGAUCUGUUAAGAGCGAUCUGAAGCAGUGAUCCGAAGCCCCAGUGAACGGCGGCCGUAACAAUAACGGUCCUAAGGUAGCGAAAUUCCUUGUCAGGUAAGUUCUGACCCGCACGAAAGGUGUAACGAUUUGGGCGCUGUCUCGGCAGCAGACUCGGUGAAAUCUUAGUACCUGUGAAAAUGCAGGUUACCCGCAACUAGACGGAAAGACCCCAUGGAGCUUUACUGCAGCCUGAUAUUGAAUUCUGGUCAUACAUGUACAGGAUAGGUGGGAGACAAAGAGACGUGCACGCCAGUGUACGAGGAGUCGACGUUGGGAUACCACUCUUGUGUGACCGGGGUUCUAACCUGGUAUCGAAAACAGGUACGGGGAGAGUGUCAGGUGGGCAGUUUGACUGGGGCGGUCGCCUCCCAAAGAGUAACGGAGGCGCCCAAAGGUACGCUCAGAUUAGAUGGAAACCAAUCGACGAGUGCAAUUGCAGAAGCGUGCUUGACUGUGAGACUUACAAGUCGAACAGGGACGAAAGUCGGGAAUAGUGAUCCGGCGGUGCCGAAUGGAAGGGCCGUCGCUCAACGGAUAAAAGCUACCCUGGGGAUAACAGGCUGAUCUCGCCCAAGAGUUCACAUCGACGGCGAGGUUUGGCACCUCGAUGUCGGCUCAUCGCAUCCUGGAGCUGGAUUCGGUUCCAAGGGUUGGGCUGUCCGCCCAUUAAAGCGGUACGCGAGCUGGGUUCAGAACGUCGUGAGACAGUUCGGUCCCUAUCUGUUGUGGGCGAAGGAGAUCUGCGGAGAGCUGUCCUCAGUACGAGAGGACCGGGAUGGACCUACCGCUGGUGCACCGGUUGUUCCGCCAGGGGCAUAGCCGGGUAGCUAAGUAGGGAAAGGAUAAGCGCUGAAAGCAUCUAAGCACGAAGCCUACUCCAAGAUGAGAUCUCCCAUUCGCAAGAAGUAAGACCCCUUAAAGACGAUAAGGUAGAUAGGCCAGAGAUGGAAGUGCAGU